UGAUACAAUAUCAUUUUUUGGAGGUAUUUUGGGUUUUUGUUUUGAUCAUAUUAUGGGUUUUUUUUUUUGAAGAUACAUUCAAUUAUUCUAGAAAACAUAUGUUUUACGUAAAUUUAGUAGUGCACCGGUGUAAAUUAAGGUUGAUUUAGAACCUUUGGUAGAUGAAGUUAAGGGUACUUGAGGAUACAUUGUUUGCGUGUUAGAGCCAUUGGGUGAUGGUUUC
Molecule: long non-coding RNA, 223 nt
Filed under: Mytilus galloprovincialis (Mediterranean mussel)
Lineage: Eukaryota; Metazoa; Mollusca; Bivalvia; Mytilida; Mytilidae
Source: RNAcentral